GCAGACUUAGCUCAAUUGGUAGAGCAACUGACUUGGAAGCAGUAGGUUGGGGGUUCAAGUCCUCGAGUCUGCACCA
This 76-nucleotide transfer RNA is filed under the name Bacillus cereus. Its description in RNAcentral is "tRNA-Pro". It matches the Rfam family "tRNA". Rfam says of the family: Transfer RNA (tRNA) molecules are approximately 80 nucleotides in length. Their secondary structure includes four short double-helical elements and three loops (D, anti-codon, and T loops). Lineage: Bacteria; Bacillati; Bacillota; Bacilli; Caryophanales; Bacillaceae. The record is from RNAcentral.